Long non-coding RNA from Homo sapiens (human), 592 nucleotides. RefSeq lists it as uncharacterized. The record is from RefSeq and is a predicted model, not a curated record. The transcript has 4 exons. NCBI's taxonomy places the organism in Eukaryota, Metazoa, Chordata, Mammalia, Primates, Hominidae.
AUGGUUGGGGCAAGAAGGCAUCUGCAGCCUGGGUCACUGGUAACCUGUCGUAGUGACUGAGCUGACACCAAGCCUUGCUCUGAAGCAGUUCAGAGACUGGAGAUGGGCAGUGUCACCCAUAUCAGGAAUAUUCCCUCAGAUACAGUCAGAAGAAUAUACAAGGAUAAAUGUACAAGGAACAGGAGGCCUGACGUCAAAAGCUCCCCCUCGUGACCAAAUCGACUGGGACUUGUUGGAUCCAAGAUGGCAGCUCACUUGACUUCUGAAGAACCUGGAACUUCAUUAUAAUCAAAUUUCCGUGCUAAAUGACAUUCCCGCGAGCACCAUGACAGUUGACAAUCACCAUGACAAUGACAGAAGAAACCAUAAAAUGACAAAAAGGAAGGCGGCAACUCUGGUUCUGAGUUUUCUGCCCAUUUCCAGAAAAGAUGUGAAUAUUCUUCUCUUUGCUUUUAAUGCCUGACCCUGUCAUUAGAGAUAUUCUGUAUCUGUGACUUCCUGGUUUUCAUAAGCUGAGAAGGUGAUUUGUGAGCCAAUCUCCUGGUUCUCAAUUUCAUGGCCAUUGAAUGAAGCUGGUACUGCUUGAUGCUCA